This 305-nucleotide ribosomal RNA is filed under the name uncultured bacterium. RNAcentral's name for it is "bacterial SSU rRNA". It matches the Rfam family "Bacterial small subunit ribosomal RNA", at positions 337 to 659 of the family's 1533-position model. The record is from RNAcentral.
CCCUACGGGGGGCAGCAGUGGGGAAUAUUGCACAAUGGGGGAAACCCUGAUGCAGCGACGCCGCGUGAGUGAAGAAGUAUUUCGGUACGUAAAGCUCUAUCAGCAGGGAAGAAAAUGACGGUACCUGACUAAGAAGCCCCGGCUAACUACGUGCCAGCAGCCGCGGUAAUACGUAGGGGGCAAGCGUUGUUCGGAAUAACUGGGCGUAAAGGAUGCGCAGGCGGUUGAACAAGUUAUAUGUUAAAUAUAUAGGCUUAACCUCUAGAAAGCAUUUAAAACUGUUUAACUAUAGUGCAGGAGAGGUG